Molecule: ribosomal RNA, 311 nt
Filed under: Pseudomonas taiwanensis
Lineage: Bacteria; Pseudomonadati; Pseudomonadota; Gammaproteobacteria; Pseudomonadales; Pseudomonadaceae
Description: bacterial SSU rRNA
Rfam family: Bacterial small subunit ribosomal RNA
Source: RNAcentral
AAAGCAGGGGACCUUCGGGCCUUGCGCUAUCAGAUGAGCCUAGGUCGGAUUAGCUAGUUGGUGAGGUAAUGGCUCACCAAGGCGACGAUCCGUAACUGGUCUGAGAGGAUGAUCAGUCACACUGGAACUGAGACACGGUCCAGACUCCUACGGGAGGCAGCAGUGGGGAAUAUUGGACAAUGGGCGAAAGCCUGAUCCAGCCAUGCCGCGUGUGUGAAGAAGGUCUUCGGAUUGUAAAGCACUUUAAGUUGGGAGAAAGGGCAGUAAGCUAAUACCUUGCUGUUAGGACGUUACCGACAGAAUAAGCACCG